This 399-nucleotide ribosomal RNA is filed under the name uncultured bacterium. Its description in RNAcentral is "bacterial SSU rRNA". It matches the Rfam family "Bacterial small subunit ribosomal RNA", at positions 29 to 439 of the family's 1533-position model. The record is from RNAcentral.
AACGAACGCUGGCGGCAGGCCUAACACAUGCAAGUCGAACGAGAUCUUCGGAUCUAGUGGCGGACGGGUGAGUAACGCGUGGGUAACCUGCCCUGUACAGAGGAAUAGCCAUUGGAAACGAUGAUUAAUGCCUCAUAAGACUACAGUAUCGCAUGAUACAGUAGCCAAAACUCCGGUGGUACAGGAUGGACCCGCGUUAGAUUAGCUAGUUGGUAAGGUAAAGGCUUACCAAGGCGACGAUCUAUAGCCGACCUGAGAGGGUGAUCGGCCACACUGGAACUGAGACACGGUCCAGACUCCUACGGGAGGCAGCAGUGGGGAAUAUUGCACAAUGGGCGAAAGCCUGAUGCAGCAACGCCGCGUGAGCGAAGAAGGUCUUCGGAUCGUAAGCUCUGUCCU